CAGAUUUCUCUUCUUGAGAAGAAGGCUCAGGACAACUGGAUCAAGGGUCGGAUUUUGGAGAGAGAGAUGGCAGAGCAGAGCAAGGAAGCCGCCUACUUGAGACACAAAUUGGCAAUAAUUGAAAAACAAGGGCUGCAACAGAAAUACGGGAUGCCGAAUCCGGUGCUGGGAAGACCUGAGACACAGAAACCCCCAGGGAGAGAUACAGGACCUGGCAUGGCGCCCAUGAGAAACAACAAUUCUUUCCCUACUAUGGAUGUACAAAAAGGCCAGGU
Molecule: RNA transcript, 275 nt
Organism: Capra hircus (goat)
Lineage: Eukaryota; Metazoa; Chordata; Mammalia; Artiodactyla; Bovidae
Exons: 4
Source: RefSeq, a predicted model, not a curated record